CUACGGGGCGCUGCAGUGAGGAAUAUUGCACAAUGGGGGGAACCCUGAUGCAGCAACGCCGCGUGGAGGAUGACGCAUUUCGGUGUGUAAACUCCUUUUAUAUGUCAAGAAAAUGACGGUAGCAUAUGAAUAAGCACCCGCUAACUCCGUGCCAGCAGCCGCGGUAAUACGGAGGGUGCAAGCGUUAUGCGGAAUCACUGGGCGUAAAGGACGCGUAGGCGGGUUGGAAAGUCAGGUGUGAAAUCCUACAGCUUAACUGUAGAACUGCACUUGAAACUUCUAAUCUAGAGUAUGGGAGGGGGAGAUGGAAUUAGUGGUGUAGGGGUAAAAUCCGUAGAUAUCACUAGGAAUACCUAAAGCGAAGGCGAUCUCCUGGAACAUUACUGACGCUAAGGCGUGAAAGCGUGGGGAGCAAACAGGAUUAGAUACCCGUGUAGUC
This 439-nucleotide ribosomal RNA is filed under the name uncultured bacterium. RNAcentral describes it as "partial 16S ribosomal RNA". It matches the Rfam family "Bacterial small subunit ribosomal RNA", at positions 339 to 795 of the family's 1533-position model. The record is from RNAcentral.